AUCAACUUUCGAUGGUAGGAUAGAGGCCUACCAUGGUGGUAACGGGUAACGGGGUGUUAGGGCACGACACCGGAGAGGGAGCCUGAGAAACGGCUACCACAUCCAAGGAUGGCAGCAGGCGCGCAAAUUACCCAAUCCCGACACGGGGAGGUAGUGACAAUAAAUAACAAUACGGGGUCCUUUGGAUCUCGUAAUUGGAAUGAGUACAAUUUAAAUCUCUUAACGAGGAACAAUUGGAGGGCAAGUCUGGUGCCAGCAGCCGCGGUAAUUCCAGCUCCAAUAGCGUAUAUUAAAGUUGUUGCAGUUAAAAAGCUCGUAGUUGAAUUUCGGGGUCGGUAGGUUGGUCAUGCCAUCGGUAUGCACUGGUCUCACCGAUUCCUCCCUCUUGUAGAAGCGUAAUGCCAUUAAGUUGGUGUUGCGGGGAAACAGGACUGUUACUUUGAAAAAAUUAGAGUGUUUAAAGCAGGCUAACGCUUGAAUACAUUAGCAUGGAAUAAUGAAAUAGGACGUCGAUCCUAUUUUGUUGGUUUCUAGGGUUGACGUAAUGAUUAAUAGGGAUAGUUGGGGGCAUUAGUAUUCAAUUGUCAGAGGUGAAAUUCUUGGAUUUAUUGAAGACUAACUACUGCGAAAGCAUUUGCCAAGGAUGUUUUCAUUAAUCAAGAACGAAAGUUAGGGGAUCGAAGACGAUCAGAUACCGUCGUAGUCUUAACCAUAAACUAUGCCGACUAGGGAUCGGAUGAUGUUAAUUUUUUAAUGACUCAUUCGGCGCCUUACGGGAAACCAAAGUGUUUGGGUUC
Molecule: ribosomal RNA, 797 nt
Filed under: uncultured Glomeromycotina
Lineage: Eukaryota; Fungi; Glomeromycota
Description: SSU rRNA
Rfam family: Eukaryotic small subunit ribosomal RNA
Source: RNAcentral